GAGGUCUUAGCUUAAAGAUUAAAGUGGCUGGAUUGCAGUCAGUUGAUGUGCGUGUCGUGCACAGGCCUU
RNAcentral lists this transfer RNA (69 nucleotides) under Phyllodactylus reissii. Its description in RNAcentral is "tRNA-Ala". The record is from RNAcentral. Lineage: Eukaryota; Metazoa; Chordata; Lepidosauria; Squamata; Phyllodactylidae.